UCCACAGAUUCUGUGAAUAUGUUACCCAAUAUGUUACUCUAUGCGGCAGGAGAGACUUUGGAGGUGUAAUUAGGGUUCAGGUAAAUCCAGGAAAAGUUGGAUAUGGGGUCUGGCUUUCAAAUAUGGAAUACUAAAUAAGGACACUGCGCUUCUUCUCAGAAACAGUGUUUUGGAAUGAAUAGGAACCUAGGAAGCAAUAGAAAAGCAAUGCAAUGAACCUCAAAAUUCUUAGUGAUCAUCCUGCCCCCAAUACAGGAGUGAGCCUUACCUGGCUUAUAUCAAUUACUACAUCCCAGAUGUACUGUGGUGGUUGGUCUGUAUGUGGUUCUGUGUUCUAAUCUGGACCAUUGAGAAGGAGGGCAGCUUUUUCAGAAGGCAUCUGUUUUG
Hyaena hyaena (striped hyena) is the source of this 387-nucleotide long non-coding RNA. RefSeq lists it as uncharacterized. NCBI's taxonomy places the organism in Eukaryota, Metazoa, Chordata, Mammalia, Carnivora, Hyaenidae. The transcript has 3 exons. The record is from RefSeq and is a predicted model, not a curated record.